GUAGGGAAUAUUGGACAAUGGGCGAAAGCCUGAUCCAGCAAUGCCGCGUGAGUGAAGAAGGCCUUAGGGUUGUAAAGCUCUUUCGGCGGGGAAGAUGAUGACGGUACCCGCAGAAGAAGCCCCGGCUAACUUCGUGCCAGCAGCCGCGGUAAUACGAAGGGGGCUAGCGUUGUUCGGAAUCACUGGGCGUAAAGGGCGCGUAGGCGGCUUGGCAAGUCAGGUGUGAAAGGCCUGGGCUCAACCCAGGAACUGCACUUGAGACUGCCUCGCUUGAGUCCGGGAGAGGAUGGCGGAAUUCCCAGUGUAGAGGUGAAAUUCGUAGAUAUUGGGAAGAACACCGGUGGCGAAGGCGGCCAUCUGGACCGGUACUGACGCUGAGGCGCGAAAGCGUGGGGAGCAAACAGGAUUAGAAACCCGAGUAGUCC
Molecule: ribosomal RNA, 425 nt
Filed under: uncultured bacterium
Lineage: Bacteria
Description: bacterial SSU rRNA
Rfam family: Bacterial small subunit ribosomal RNA
Source: RNAcentral